Molecule: transfer RNA, 103 nt
Filed under: Rhodotorula sp. JG-1b
Lineage: Eukaryota; Fungi; Basidiomycota; Microbotryomycetes; Sporidiobolales; Sporidiobolaceae
Description: tRNA-Pro
Rfam family: tRNA
About the family: Transfer RNA (tRNA) molecules are approximately 80 nucleotides in length. Their secondary structure includes four short double-helical elements and three loops (D, anti-codon, and T loops).
Source: RNAcentral
GCCUACUUGGUCUAGUAGCAUGAUACCUCAUUCGGGUUUAAAUACCAGCUUGCUUGGCAAGUGUGCAUUGAGGUGGUCGGCGGUUCAAUUCCGCCAGUGGGCC